RNAcentral lists this ribosomal RNA (497 nucleotides) under uncultured bacterium. RNAcentral describes it as "partial 16S ribosomal RNA". It matches the Rfam family "Bacterial small subunit ribosomal RNA", at positions 28 to 507 of the family's 1533-position model. The record is from RNAcentral.
GAUGAACGCUGGCGGCGUGCCUAAUACAUGCAAGUCGAGCGAACAGAUGAGGAGCUUGCUCCUCUGACGUUAGCGGCGGACGGGUGAGUAACACGUGGAUAACCUACCUAUAAGACUGGGAUAACUUCGGGAAACCGGAGCUAAUACCGGAUAAUAUAUUGAACCGCAUGGUUCAAUAGUGAAAGACGGUUUUGCUGUCACUUAUAGAUGGAUCCGCGCCGCAUUAGCUAGUUGGUAAGGUAACGGCUUACCAAGGCAACGAUGCGUAGCCGACCUGAGAGGGUGAUCGGCACCACUGGAACUGAGACACGGUCAAGACUCCUACGGGAGGCAGCAGUAGGGAAUCUUCCGCAAUGGGCGAAAGCCUGACGGAGCAACGCCGCGUGAGUGAUGAAGGUCUUCGGAGCGUAAAACUCUGUUAUUAGGGAAGAACAAAUGUGUAAGUAACUAUGCACGUCUUGACGGUACCUAAUCAGAAAGCCACGGCUAACUACGUG